RNAcentral lists this ribosomal RNA (520 nucleotides) under uncultured Glomus. RNAcentral's name for it is "SSU rRNA". It matches the Rfam family "Eukaryotic small subunit ribosomal RNA", at positions 569 to 1092 of the family's 1831-position model. Lineage: Eukaryota; Fungi; Glomeromycota; Glomeromycetes; Glomerales; Glomeraceae. The record is from RNAcentral.
AGCAGCCGCGGUAAUUCCAGCUCCAAUAGCGUAUAUUAAAGUUGUUGCAGUUAAAAAGCUCGUAGUUGAAUUUCGGGGUCAGUAGGUUGGUCGUGCCAAUGGUAUGUACUGGCUUUACUGAUUCCUCCUUCUUGAAGAACUGUAAUGCCAUUAAUUUGGUGUUGCAGGGAAUCAGGACUGUUACUUUGAAAAAAUUAGAGUGUUUAAAGCAGGCCUACGCUUGAAUACAUUAGCAUGGAAUAAUGAAAUAGGACGUUGAUCUUAUUUUGUUGGUUUCUAGGAUUGACGUAAUGAUUAAUAGGGAUAGUUGGGGGCAUUAGUAUUCAAUUGUCAGAGGUGAAAUUCUUGGAUUUAUUGAAGACUAACUACUGCGAAAGCAUUUGCCAAGGAUGUUUUCAUUAAUCAAGAACGAAAGUUAGGGGAUCGAAGACGAUCAGAUACCGUCGUAGUCUUAACCAUAAACUAUGCCGACUAGGGAUCGGAUGAUGUUAAUUUUUAAUGACUCAUUCGGCGCCUUACG